Molecule: ribosomal RNA, 950 nt
Filed under: uncultured archaeon
Lineage: Archaea
Description: bacterial SSU rRNA
Rfam family: Archaeal small subunit ribosomal RNA
Source: RNAcentral
UUCCGGUUGAUCCCGCCGGACCCGACUGCUAUUUGGGUGAGGAUAAGCCAUGCGAGUUGAAUGGGAAACCUAAAUUUCCCAUGGCAAAUUGCUCAGUAACACAUGAUCAACUUACCCUAUAGAGAAAAAUAACCUCGGGAAACUGAGGAUAAUGUUUCAUAGUUGAAUUGGCUUGGAAAAGUUUUUCGACGAAAGGGGUAAAAAAAAUGGUUUUUAUCUGCUAUAGGAUAGGAUCGUGUUCGAUUAUGGUUGUUGGUGAGGUAAUGGCUCACCAAGCCGAUAAUCGAUAGGGGCCGUGAGAGCGGGAGCCCCGAGAUGGGUACUGAGACAACGACCCAGGCCUUACGAGGCGCAGCAGGCGCGAAACCUCCGCAAUACACGAAAGUGUGACGGGGUUACCCAAAGUGUUCAAUAGAACUGUGGUAGGUGAGUAAUGUUCCCUACUAGAAAGGAGAGGGCAAGGCUGGUGCCAGCCGCCGCGGUAAAACCAGCUCUUCAAGUGGUCGGGAUAAUUAUUGGGCUUAAAGUGUCCGUAGCCGGUUUAGUAAGUUCCUGGUAAAAUCGGGUAGCUUAACUAUCUAUAUGCUAGGAAUACUACUAUACUAGAGGGCGGGAGAGGUCUGAGGUACUGCAGGGGUAGGGGUGAAAUCUUAUAAUCCUUGUUGGACCGCCAGUGGCGAAGGCGUCAGACUGGAACGCGCCUGACGGUGAGGGACGAAAGCCAGGGGAGCGAACCGGAUUAGAUACCCGGGUAGUCCUGGCCGUAAACGAUGCAUACUACGUGAUGGCACGGCCAUGAGCCGUGUCAGUGCCGUAGGGAAACCGUUAAGUGUGCCGCCUGGGAAGUACGGUCGCAAGGCUAAAACUUAAAGGAAUUGGCGGGGGAGCACCACAAGGGGUGAAGCCUGCGGUUCAAUUGGAUUCAACGCCGGAAAUCACUAGUGCGGCCG